RNAcentral lists this ribosomal RNA (497 nucleotides) under uncultured bacterium. RNAcentral describes it as "partial 16S ribosomal RNA". It matches the Rfam family "Bacterial small subunit ribosomal RNA", at positions 28 to 507 of the family's 1533-position model. The record is from RNAcentral.
GAUGAACGCUGGCGGUGUGCCUAAUACAUGCAAGUCGAGCGACAAGACGAUGAGAUCGUUCUUCUGCCGUUAGCGGCGGACGGGCGAGUAACGAGUGGAUCACAUUCUUCUAUGUCUGGGAUAAUUUCGGGGAACCGGUUCUACUAAUGGCUCAUAUAUCCUACCGCUUGGAUCAGUAGUUCUUGACGGCUUUGCUGUUACUUAUAGAUGGUUUCGCGUCGCAUUAGCUAGUUGGUAAGGUAACGGCUUACCAAGGCGACGAUGCGUAGCCGACCUGAGAGGGUGAUCAGCCACACUGGAACUGAGACACGGUCCAGACUCCUACGGGAGGCAGCAGUAGGGAAUCUUCCACAAUGGGCGAAAGCUUGACGCAGCAACGCCGCGUGAGUGAUGAAGGUCUUCGGAUCGUAAAACUCUGUUGUUAGGGAAGAACAAAAGUGUGAGUAACUAUGCACGUCUUGACGGUACCUAAUCAGAAAGCCACGGCUAACUACGUG